CCAAAGCCGGGUGCUGUGCAGUGGAAAGCGCUGACCCUGUCCCCCUUGCAGAGAGGAGCAGAGCUGGACCCUCACUCCUCUUUCAUCACUCAGGUGCAAGAUUGCAGUUUGUCUGAUAAAAUGGGCAGUAAAAACAAAAGUGCAGUUAGAGAUUAGCCAUGAAACCGAAACUACAGAAGGAACUACAGCUGAUAAAGUAAGCUUUCAGGUAUUUGGUCUCUGCUGCUACAAGAGCUGUCCCAGAGUGGUGUCAAUCUGUCUCAGGGUCAAAUUUGGAUACAUUUUCUGCUCAAGACUGAAAGCA
Molecule: long non-coding RNA, 304 nt
Filed under: Apteryx rowi (Okarito brown kiwi)
Lineage: Eukaryota; Metazoa; Chordata; Aves; Apterygiformes; Apterygidae
Description: lncRNA (ENSARWG00000013740.1)
Source: RNAcentral